UAAUACGGAGGGUGCAAGCGUUAUCCGGAUUUAUUGGGUUUAAAGGGUGCGUAGGCGGCUUUUUAAGUCAGUGGUGAAAUCCUAGUGCUUAACACUAGAACUGCCAUUGAAACUAAAAAGCUUGAGUCAAGGAGAGGUAAGCAGAAUUUAUGGUGUAGCAGUGAAAUGCUUAGAUAUCAUAAGGAAUACCGAUAGCGAAGGCAGCUUACUGGCCUUGUACUGACGCUGAGGCACGAAAGCGUGGGGAGCAAACAGGAUUAGAGACCCUGGUAGUCCACGCUGUAAACGAUGAUCACUCGAUAUAUACGCUUGCGUAUGUGUCUGAGCGAAAGCAUUAAGUGAUCCACCUGGGGAGUACGCCCGCAAGAGUG
Molecule: ribosomal RNA, 371 nt
Filed under: uncultured bacterium
Lineage: Bacteria
Description: bacterial SSU rRNA
Rfam family: Bacterial small subunit ribosomal RNA
Source: RNAcentral